UGCACUCCCUUGUUUUUCUUUCACAAAAAUUAACGUAUCCAAAUAUACUAACACCAAAUACCAACUUACUCAUCCACUUUUCAAGAAACCACUAUGCUUCUUUUUAUAAACUAACAUACAAAAAAAAAAAAAAAAGAAUUAUCAGUUUAAGACUAAGAAUUCUACAAAAAAUUUAAAGAAAGAGGAGACACUUUUUCAGGUUUUGGAAGAUGGAGAAAUUUAGGAAGGCAAAUGAAGAGGAAGAAGAAAGGAGAGGAAAAAUGGUACGGACUAGCAUGCGGGGAAGGGAAGCCAACUUGUACUUUUUUUUUGUUAUAAUAAUAUUUUUUAAACUAUAGUUACGUUGUAUUUAUACAACAAAGGGGCUCUCUUUUGUAGUUAUUUUUUCUUUUUAUUUUCGAGAUUGAGAGUACGUAUUUCCUUUAUUUUAUUCAUGCUAUCCUAUGAAAGAAGGUUUAGAUAACCUUUUGCUGAAUUGAAUGGUCCUUAAAAGGAAUUUAUUAAUCUCUUUGGUAAUGCAGUAAUGGUUCUAUUA
This is a long non-coding RNA of Lycium barbarum (goji berry), 535 nucleotides long. RefSeq lists it as uncharacterized. The record is from RefSeq and is a predicted model, not a curated record. Lineage: Eukaryota; Viridiplantae; Streptophyta; Magnoliopsida; Solanales; Solanaceae. The transcript is spliced from 2 exons.